This 381-nucleotide long non-coding RNA is filed under the name Homo sapiens (human). Its description in RNAcentral is "HSALNT0052340". The record is from RNAcentral. Lineage: Eukaryota; Metazoa; Chordata; Mammalia; Primates; Hominidae.
CAAGCAUGAGAAACAACAUUGUUGCAAAUAAGUUUAAGGAAAAUAGGAAGCUAGGCUCACAAAGACAUUCUUUCACUUUUCUUUCUCUUGGUUUUUUUCUUCUGCUUUUUUUUAAUCUUGGUGCAAUCCAUGUAAUUUUGUAAGAGUCCUUAAAACUGUGUUGGUGGGAUAUAGAUUUCUGGAUGAAGAGAUAGUUCAACCUUGCUCAUGUCAGAAAACAACCCAUCAGUCUAAAAAAGAUCAGUUUCCUGGGCUCCGUUGGGUUAGGAGUUGUGGACUUCUAGACUCCUAGUCUCCAGAGGAAUGGAUGUUUUCACAGUAGAGGAUUUGCAGUUCUAAAAGAGAAGAACCUUCUCUCUAUGUUGAUGUGGGAGUAUCUCC